Molecule: ribosomal RNA, 505 nt
Filed under: uncultured Glomus
Lineage: Eukaryota; Fungi; Glomeromycota; Glomeromycetes; Glomerales; Glomeraceae
Description: SSU rRNA
Rfam family: Eukaryotic small subunit ribosomal RNA
Source: RNAcentral
AGCAGCCGCGGUAAUUCCAGCUCCAAUAGCGUAUAUUAAAGUUGUUGCAGUUAAAAAGCUCGUAGUUGAAUUUCGGGAUCAAUAUAUCGGUCGUGCCUUCGGUACGUACUGGUAUCGUUGAUUUCUACCUUCUGACGAACCAUGAUGUCAUUAAUUUGGUGUCAUGGGAAAUCAGGACUGUUACUUUGAAAAAAUUAGAGUGUUUAAAGCAGGCACACGCUUGAAUACAUUAGCAUGGAAUAAUGAAAUAGGACGUUUGACCCUAUUUUGUUGGUUUCUAGGAUCGACGUAAUGAUUAAUAGGGAUAGUUGGGGGCAUUAGUAUUCAAUUGUCAGAGGUGAAAUUCUUGGAUUUAUUGAAGACUAACUACUGCGAAAGCAUUUGCCAAGGAUGUUUUCAUUAAUCAAGAACGAAAGUUAGGGGAUCGAAGACGAUCAGAUACCGUCGUAGUCUUAACCAUAAACUAUGCCGACUAGGGAUCGGAUGAUGUUAAUUUUUUAAUGUA